UACGUAGGUGGCAAGCGUUGUCCGGAAUUAUUGGGCGUAAAGCGCGCGCAGGCGGUCCUUUAAGUCUGAUGUGAAAGCCCACGGCUCAACCGUGGAGGGUCAUUGGAAACUGGGGGACUUGAGUGCAGAAGAGGAGAGUGGAAUUCCACGUGUAGCGGUGAAAUGCGUAGAGAUGUGGAGGAACACCAGUGGCGAAGGCGACUCUCUGGUCUGCAACUGACGCUGAGGCGCGAAAGCGUGGGGAGCGAACAGG
Molecule: ribosomal RNA, 253 nt
Filed under: uncultured bacterium
Lineage: Bacteria
Description: partial 16S ribosomal RNA
Rfam family: Bacterial small subunit ribosomal RNA
Source: RNAcentral